Molecule: long non-coding RNA, 1185 nt
Organism: Gossypium arboreum
Lineage: Eukaryota; Viridiplantae; Streptophyta; Magnoliopsida; Malvales; Malvaceae
Exons: 4
Source: RefSeq, a predicted model, not a curated record
AAAACACAGGAAAACAACCCCUUAAUUUUGGAAAAUGUCUUAUCGUUUCUAAUUCGGUACGACAUUUUCAGGAAAAUUUGAAGCCAACACUAAUUUUCUACUUCCCCUUCCCCUUCCCCUAUCCUUGACACCUGGUCUUCUGCUUGCCAUCAGCCAACACUGAUUCUCAACACCAAACACCGGCGUUCAUCAAAGCUUUUCGCUAUAUUGUUGAAUCCAGUGAAAACCCCAACUUGAAUGAGAUGAGCAGUGAUGAAUCCAACGACAGUUUUUACUUUGUAGAAGAUGCAAUUUUUGAGGAAGUUGAUGGUGAUACACAACCGAUGCUUCAGCUAUGAUGGUGCAGGGGAUGCAGGGUCUCAAAGAUUGAAAUAUAUAUUUUAUUCCUUUAGAGCUUUGGGUCUGCUUUCGUGGAGAUACAGGUUCUCAAUGAAGUCUUCCAAAUGUGUAGAUUUUGUAAAACUUGCAUGAAAGUCAAGCCGUACGCAGAUUCAAUACUCUACUGGAAUUGCAGUUGCAGAGUAAGGGUGAUUUUGAUAUCUUCAUCCUCACCAACAAAACAAGUUCCCAAAAAAUUUCUGGUGUUAAUGUCAAGGGAGUGAAGAAGGCAUUGAUUGAUGUAAGGAAAGCAAAUGAGGAAGCAGAGUCAAGAAGGAAUAAAAGAGGAACAAAUCCUGCAGGUGCACUAGUGCAGAAUUUCUUGAAUACUAGAUGACUUAUCUAGGAUCAUAAAGAUUGAAGGAAAGGUUGUUUGGUUGAGAAGAAAGUAAGAACUUGAACCACUGUAAGAUGGAUUUCGGCGAAUUAGCACUUGCCAAAGAUCUCAUUUAUAUGGAGCUGGUCGUAACGCUAAUGGACUAUUGCUUCUGUGGAUUGUGUUAACACGUCGACAUUACGAGUUCGUCUAUCCACGUGUAGUUGUUUAGUUUAUUUCCAUAUUAAAACAAUUUAUGCGCUCUCGAUAAUUGCUUAGUUUGGUUAACCGGUUUGUGCACUAGUUUAUUACAAUUAGCAUUGUCACUUGGACAAUGCACACUUAUGCCUAAGGCAUUGCCAUGAUGCAUUGUUUUGAGUCUUGUGAGAAGCUGAAAUUUCAAUUGCAGUUUCGAAUUAAUCUUCUUGAUUUGUGAACUUGUUCAUGUGCAAUCCGGUUGAAUGAACAAUGAUUAAAAGAUUUAGAGGAAA